Molecule: ribosomal RNA, 138 nt
Filed under: uncultured Bacillota bacterium
Lineage: Bacteria; Bacillati; Bacillota
Description: uncultured Firmicutes bacterium partial 16S ribosomal RNA
Rfam family: Bacterial small subunit ribosomal RNA
Source: RNAcentral
AAUGGGGGAAACCCUGAUGCAGCGACGCCGCGUGAGUGAAGAAGUAUUUCGGUAUGUAAAGCUCUAUCAGCAGGGAAGAAAAUGACGGUACCUGACUAAGAAGCCCCGGCUAACUACGUGCCAGCAGCCGCGGUAAUA